GACAGAGGUGCCAAGCGUUAGGCGGAAUCACUGGGCUUAAAGCGUGUGUAGGCGGGUGCCUUAGUACCUUGUGAAAUCCCCCGGCUCAACCGGGGAACGGCUGGGUAUACUGGGUGCCUUGGGUCAUCUAGGGGCUGCCGGAACAAAUGGUGGAGCGGUGAAAUGCGUAGAUAUCAUUUGGAACGCCAACGGCGAAAGCAGGCAGCUGGGGAUGCACCGACGCUGAGACACGAAAGCCAGGGGAGCGAACGGG
Molecule: ribosomal RNA, 253 nt
Filed under: uncultured bacterium
Lineage: Bacteria
Description: partial 16S ribosomal RNA
Rfam family: Bacterial small subunit ribosomal RNA
Source: RNAcentral